GGUGGGAUGGCCGAGAGGCGAGGCAGCGGCCUGCAAAGCCGUAUACACGGGUUCGAAUCCCGUUCCCACCUC
This 72-nucleotide transfer RNA is filed under the name Nakamurella endophytica. RNAcentral's name for it is "tRNA-Cys". It matches the Rfam family "tRNA". Rfam says of the family: Transfer RNA (tRNA) molecules are approximately 80 nucleotides in length. Their secondary structure includes four short double-helical elements and three loops (D, anti-codon, and T loops). Lineage: Bacteria; Bacillati; Actinomycetota; Actinomycetes; Nakamurellales; Nakamurellaceae. The record is from RNAcentral.